UACGUAGGGUGCGAGCGUUAAUCGGAAUUACGGGGCGUAAAGCGUGCGCAGGCGGUUUUGUAAGUCAGAUGUGAAAUCCCCGGGCUUAACCUGGGAACUGCGUUUGAAACUACAAGGCUAGAGUGUAGCAGAGGGGCGUGGAAUUCCACGUGUAGCAGUGAAAUGCGUAGAGAUGUGGAGGACCACCGAUGGCGAAGGCCGCCCCCUGGGUUAACACUGACGCUCAGGCACGAAAGCGUGCGGAGCAAACAGG
This 253-nucleotide unclassified non-coding RNA is filed under the name uncultured Gammaproteobacteria bacterium. RNAcentral describes it as "contains 16S-23S intergenic spacer region". It matches the Rfam family "Bacterial small subunit ribosomal RNA", at positions 524 to 776 of the family's 1533-position model. The record is from RNAcentral. Lineage: Bacteria; Pseudomonadati; Pseudomonadota; Gammaproteobacteria.